This 39-nucleotide transfer RNA is filed under the name Moniliophthora perniciosa FA553. RNAcentral describes it as "tRNA-Val". The record is from RNAcentral. Lineage: Eukaryota; Fungi; Basidiomycota; Agaricomycetes; Agaricales; Marasmiaceae.
GGUUCGAUGGUGUAGUUGGUUAUCACAUCUGUCUAACAU